RNAcentral lists this ribosomal RNA (253 nucleotides) under uncultured bacterium. RNAcentral describes it as "partial 16S ribosomal RNA". It matches the Rfam family "Bacterial small subunit ribosomal RNA", at positions 524 to 776 of the family's 1533-position model. The record is from RNAcentral.
UACGAAGGGUGCAAGCGUUACUCGGAAUUACUGGGCGUAAAGCGCGCGUAGGCGGCCUCAUAAGUCCGUUGUGAAAGUCAAAGGCUCAACCUUUGAAAGCCGAUGGAUACUGUGAGGCUAGAGUCCGGAAGAGGCGAGUGGAAUUCCUGGUGUAGCGGUGGAAUGCGCAGAUAUCAGGAGGAACACCAAUAGCGAAGGCAGCUCGCUGGGACGGUACUGACGCUAAGGCGCGAAAGCGUGGGGAGCGAACAGG